Non-coding RNA from Lupinus albus (white lupine), 445 nucleotides. The record is from the annotation of a GenBank genome assembly. Lineage: Eukaryota; Viridiplantae; Streptophyta; Magnoliopsida; Fabales; Fabaceae.
GCGUUGGUUUUUCCAACGAAACUAAGCACUUUUUUUUCUUUAUCAUUCGGAAGGCUCAGUCCCACACUCUGACUUCAAUGAUGGGAACAACCUCCGCACUCCGGCGCUCCAAUGAACAACAGUUCUCCGCCUGACUUUAUUUAGUUUAGAAUAGUGGUCGAUCCCUCGGGAGUUUACAUUCGUAACUUAAUGUUAUGUUCACGCGGUGAUCUUAUAUCCAAGAGUACUACCCUGUACGUAGUCUAUGUCUGGGGAGCAUACUUGACAGGAGAUAGACACAGGCGGGUAGAGAGGUCCCCCACUUCGAUUCCUGCCCCGUUAGCAUCUCCGAUCCGAGAUAAGGGAUUACUCCGUUAGGUCUUUUCUAGCUUAGGAGCCGGCCGGUAAUGGACCUACUUACUGUGGACCAGCUGCAGAGCUAACCCUUGUUCUAUUGGUUUGGCGG